This 400-nucleotide long non-coding RNA is filed under the name Elaeis guineensis (African oil palm). RNAcentral describes it as "long non-coding RNA (EGUI_LNC006852)". Lineage: Eukaryota; Viridiplantae; Streptophyta; Magnoliopsida; Arecales; Arecaceae. The record is from RNAcentral.
ACAGCGGACGAUCUACCCCGGAUCUCUACUGUAAAUAGAUUUCUUUCGAACUUCCAUUACAGGUAGACUUCAGUCGAGUUCCUUCGAAGCUGGAUCCCGGACGAGCUUCUACCAGGGGGCAGGAUUCAUCGGCCAGGUCGUUACUCCGAGCUCCUACGAUAAUUGAUCUUCGAUCGAGCUCCAACAAUAAGUGGCCUCCUUUCGGCCUCCCACGAGAAUCGAACUCCAUUCGAGCUUCCACAGCGAAUGGAUUCUGGAUGAGCUUUCGUAACGGAAGGGCUCCAGCAGCUAGAUUUCUACAACGGUCGAUCGCCCCCAGAUCCCCCAUACUCCUCCAGCAGGCGAGUCUCUCCAGUGCUAUCGAGGUCCAUCACCAGUCGACCUCCUACCAGGCUCCCAA